Molecule: ribosomal RNA, 271 nt
Filed under: uncultured archaeon
Lineage: Archaea
Description: partial 16S ribosomal RNA
Rfam family: Archaeal small subunit ribosomal RNA
Source: RNAcentral
CAGCGCCACAAGUGGGGGCCAUGUUUAUUGGGCCUAAAGCGUCCGUAGCCGGUUUAGCAAAUCUUUUGUGAAAUCGUCAGGCUUAACUUGACGAAUUGCAGAAGACACUACUAAACUAGGGACUGGGAGGAGUCAGAAGUAUUCUGGGGGGACCGGUAAAAUGGUAUAAUCCCCAGAGGACUACCGAUGGCGAAGGCAUCUGACCAGAACAGAUCCGACGGUGAGGGACGAAAGCCAGGGGAGCAAACCGGAUUAGAUACCCGAGUAGUCC